RNAcentral lists this ribosomal RNA (497 nucleotides) under uncultured bacterium. RNAcentral's name for it is "partial 16S ribosomal RNA". It matches the Rfam family "Bacterial small subunit ribosomal RNA", at positions 28 to 507 of the family's 1533-position model. The record is from RNAcentral.
GAUGAACGCUGGCGGCGUGCCUAAUACAUGCAAGUCGAGCGAACGGACGAGAAGCUUGCUUCUCUGAUGUUAGCGGCGGACGGGUGAGUAACACGUGGAUAACCUACCUAUAAGACUGGGAUAACUUCGGGAAACCGGAGCUAAUACCGGAUGAUAUUUUGAACCGCAUGGUUCAAAAGUGAAAGACGGUCUUGCUGUCACUUAUAGAUGGAUCCGCGCUGCAUUAGCUAGUUGGUAAGGUAACGGCUUACCAAGGCAACGAUGCAUAGCCGACCUGAGAGGGUGAUCGCCCACACUGGAACUGAGACACGGUCCAGACUCCUACGGGAGGCAGCAGUAGGGAAUCUUCCGCAAUGGGCGAAAGCCUGACGGAGCAACGCCGCGUGAGUGAGGAAGGUCUUCGGAUCGUAAAACUCUGUUAUUAGGGAAGAACAUAUGUGUAAGUAACUGUGCACAUCUUGACGGUACCUAAUCAGAAAGCCACGGCUAACUACGUG